This 410-nucleotide long non-coding RNA is filed under the name Setaria viridis. Its description in RNAcentral is "long non-coding RNA (SVIR_LNC008728)". The record is from RNAcentral. Lineage: Eukaryota; Viridiplantae; Streptophyta; Magnoliopsida; Poales; Poaceae.
CAUAGAGGGUCGUGGGGCCAUCCUCUCUUUUCUAAGUUGUUAGCUGUCAAGAUUUUCAUGUGUAGAAGGAUCUAGGCAAAAAUUCUACAUUUAGGUUCCGUCUUUGCUUCCCAGAUUUGGGUGAUAGUUUGCAUUUUAAUCUGUCCUGACAAUUGUAUACGGUACACACUCUUUGUUAUGUACUCUCCAUCUGCUGUCCAUCGCCAAGUGAUUUCAUCCUCGGCUUCGGGGUUGCAUUUUAGUAAGUGUAUUUCCUCCCAAAAACUCGUGUACUCCCUUAUCUCCUCCCCCGUGUUUAAUGGGCACAUUUGGUUGAUCCAAUAGUUGUCUUGCAGGGCCUUUUGUAUAGCAAAAUUCUUUCUUUUGGACUUUCUAAAUGAGCAUGGGGCUAUGUUUUUUGGUGCUCUCCC